CGCGAAAACUCUACAAUGCACGCAAGUGUGAUAGGGCAACCCCUCGUGCUCAACUAACGUUGGGCUUUUAUUAUGUGUAAUGUACAUAAUGAAUAAGUGGUGGCAAGACCGGUGCCAGCAGCCGCGGUAAUACCGGCGCCACGAGUUGGAGUUCACUAUUAUUGGGUCUAAAAGUGUCCGUAAGCUGGGUUUAUUAAGUCUCUUGUGAAAUUUCUGUUACUUAACUCAGAAACUGCAAGAGAUACUGGUAAACUCGAGACCGGAAGAGGUAACAAGUA
This 278-nucleotide ribosomal RNA is filed under the name uncultured Nitrososphaerota archaeon. RNAcentral describes it as "uncultured thaumarchaeote partial 16S ribosomal RNA". It matches the Rfam family "Archaeal small subunit ribosomal RNA", at positions 340 to 617 of the family's 1478-position model. The record is from RNAcentral. Lineage: Archaea; Thermoproteati; Nitrososphaerota.